RNAcentral lists this ribosomal RNA (481 nucleotides) under uncultured bacterium. RNAcentral's name for it is "bacterial SSU rRNA". It matches the Rfam family "Bacterial small subunit ribosomal RNA", at positions 28 to 526 of the family's 1533-position model. The record is from RNAcentral.
GACGAACGCUGGCGGCGUGCUUAACACAUGCAAGUCGAGCGGUAAGGCCCUUCGGGGUACACGAGCGGCGAACGGGUGAGUAACACGUGGGUGAUCUGCCUUGCACUCUGGGAUAAGCCUGGGAAACUGGGUCUAAUACCGGAUAUGACCUUCGACUGCAUGGUCGAGGGUGGAAAGAUUUAUCGGUGCAAGAUGAGCCCGCGGCCUAUCAGCUUGUUGGUGGGGUAAUGGCCUACCAAGGCGACGACGGGUAGCCGGCCUGAGAGGGCGACCGGCCACACUGGGACUGAGACACGGCCCAGACUCCUACGGGAGGCAGCAGUGGGGAAUAUUGCACAAUGGGCGGAAGCCUGAUGCAGCGACGCCGCGUGAGGGAUGACGGCCUUCGGGUUGUAAACCUCUUUCGACUCCGACGAAGCGAAAGUGACGGUAGGAGUAUAAGAAGCACCGGCCAACUACGUGCCAGCCGCCGCCGUAAGAC